Molecule: ribosomal RNA, 253 nt
Filed under: uncultured bacterium
Lineage: Bacteria
Description: partial 16S ribosomal RNA
Rfam family: Bacterial small subunit ribosomal RNA
Source: RNAcentral
UACAGAGGUUGCGAGCGUUAAUCGGAAUUACUGGGCGUAAAGCGCACGUAGGUGGCGACGUAAGUCGGGUGUGAAAGCCCCGGGCUCAACCUGGGAAUUGCAUUCGAGACUGCAUUGCUGGAGUACGGAAGAGGAAGGCGGAAUUCCCGGUGUAGCGGUGAAAUGCGUAGAUAUCGGGAGGAACAUCAGUGGCGAAGGCGGCCUUCUGGUCCAGUACUGACACUCAAGUGCGAAAGCGUGGGGAGCAAACAGG